This 490-nucleotide ribosomal RNA is filed under the name uncultured bacterium. Its description in RNAcentral is "partial 16S ribosomal RNA". It matches the Rfam family "Bacterial small subunit ribosomal RNA", at positions 28 to 507 of the family's 1533-position model. The record is from RNAcentral.
GAUGAACGCUAGCUACAGGCUUAACACAUGCAAGUCGCGGGGCAGCAUGGGGGUUGCUUGCAAUCCCCGAUGGCGACCGGCGCACGGGUGAGUAACGCGUAUCCAACCUGCCCUUCACCACGGGAUAACCCGGCGAAAGUCGGACUAAUACCGUAUGUUGUCCAUUGACGGCAUCCGAUUUGGACGAAAGGUUUGGCGGUGAAGGAUGGGGAUGCGUCCGAUUGGCUGGACGGCGGGGUGACGGCCCACCGUGGCGACGAUCGGUAGGGGUUCUGAGAGGAAGGUCCCCCACACUGGAACUGAGACACGGUCCAGACUCCUACGGGAGGCAGCAGUGAGGAAUAUUGGGCAAUGGGCGUAAGCCUGAACCAGCCAAGUAGCGUGCAGGAUGACGGCCCUAUGGGUUGUAAACUGCUUUUAUGCGGGGAUAAAGUGGCCCACGUGUGGGUUUUUGCAGGUACCGCAUGAAUAAGGACCGGCUAAUUCCGUG